RNAcentral lists this small RNA (1386 nucleotides) under Vigna angularis var. angularis. RNAcentral describes it as "Non-protein coding transcript". Lineage: Eukaryota; Viridiplantae; Streptophyta; Magnoliopsida; Fabales; Fabaceae. The record is from RNAcentral.
UCUUGAUCUAUGUUAGCCUAACUCAGAUGAGUUCAAUCUAGCCCAACCUAUAUUGACUCAAACUCGACUUGACUCAAUUCAAGUUUGACUUGAACCUGAUUUAACCUAGUUCAACCUAACUUGAGCAUGACCCCAACCCAAAUUGUGUGGGUCCAAGUUGACUUAUCUUGACUUAAGUUCAAUCCAACCUAAACAUACAUGACUUGGGUCAACAUGAAAUAUACCUCACAUGAUUUUGGCUACCUAACUUAAGCCCAACUUGAGUUGAUCUAACAUUGAUCCGACUCAAUUUGGAGCGACAUAUACUCAAACCAACUUAAACAAUAUUAUAUCAACCCAACUUAACCUAACAUAGGAACAACUUGAGUGAGCUUAACCCACCAUCAUAGGUUGGACUCGACUUGAGUUAACUUGGCCUGAUCUAUCUUAGUUGUCUUUACUUGAUCUAAUCUAAAUCGGUUAUAACUCAUUUAAUUUGACCUAACUUAGAUCCCGACUUAACUUGACUUGACAUGAGAUCAACCUAACUAAGCUUAAUAUGGGGCUCGACCCCAUACAACCCAACAUCACAUCAACUUUACCCGUCUCAAUCAAAUAUAAGCUUUAAUUGACUUGGCGUACCCUAGCUUAAAAUAAUUUAACCUUAUUUAGGCUUCAUUCGACUUGUCAUGAGUCUAGACCAACUCAAUCGUACCUAGGUUCGACCUGAUCAACUUGAUUUGGCCUUAUAUGGCCCUAACCCAAUUUAGUCUGAAAUGGAGUUGACGCAAUAUAGGUUCAACCAUCACGAUCCAACACAAGUUUGAUUUGGACAUCUUUGUUGACUUAGACUUCAUAUGAACUUUGGUCUAUUUAGCUUGACUUGGGUUCAAAUUCACUUAACCUAACAUAGACUCAAGUUAAAUCAGAUUUAUCAUAUCCCGAGUCGACUUAGUUUGUCAUGCACUUGGACCCAUUCAACCCAAAAUGAAAUUGGACCAUACAAUCCAUAUGAACUUGAGUUUAAUUAACUUGAGCCAUGCCCAACUUAACUCAACUUAGAUUUGACCUAUUUGGUCUCAACACAACAUCAUUGACUUCUUGGUCCACAGUAAUAAUUAUGAACUAAUCUUGAAAAUUUAUCAAUUUUGCUUGUUGCAUUGUAUUAUAUUACAGUUAUCAUACUUUAAAUAUAAUCAUAAAUAUAUAGUUAUUGAGAUACUUACUAGGGACCAUGUUGACUGACAUACCCAGAGAAUCCUUAAUGAAUGAUUGAGUUGGUAGUUUGCAAAGAUUGAUACACAUCCCUACACAAUUUGCCUCCUCUAAAAAUCUGCACUUUUUUAUGUGAACUACAUUUUUUUCUCUUCUCCCCUCGUCCAUGUCCGAUUCUCUCACCUUCACAUC